UAGGGAAUCUUCGGCAAUGGGGGCAACCCUGACCGAGCAACGCCGCGUGAGUGAAGAAGGUUUUCGGAUCGUAAAGCUCUGUUGUAAGAGAAGAACGUGUGUGAGAGUGGAAAGUUCACACAGUGACGGUAACUUACCAGAAAGGGACGGCUAACUACGUGCCAGCAGCCGCGGUAAUACGUAGGUCCCGAGCGUUGUCCGGAUUUAUUGGGCGUAAAGCGAGCGCAGGCGGUUCAAUAAGUCUGAAGUUAAAGGCAGUGGCUUAACCAUUGUUCGCUUUGGAAACUGUUAAACUUGAGUGCAGAAGGGGAGAGUGGAAUUCCAUGUGUAGCGGUGAAAUGCGUAGAUAUAUGGAGGAACACCGGUGGCGAAAGCGGCUCUCUGGUCUGUAACUGACGCUGAGGCUCGAAAGCGUGGGGAGCAAACAGG
This 429-nucleotide ribosomal RNA is filed under the name bacterium. RNAcentral describes it as "partial 16S ribosomal RNA". It matches the Rfam family "Bacterial small subunit ribosomal RNA", at positions 355 to 776 of the family's 1533-position model. The record is from RNAcentral.